RNAcentral lists this long non-coding RNA (447 nucleotides) under Polistes fuscatus (common paper wasp). Its description in RNAcentral is "uncharacterized LOC122521865". The record is from RNAcentral. Lineage: Eukaryota; Metazoa; Arthropoda; Insecta; Hymenoptera; Vespidae.
UGAUCGUAUCUCACGAUUCUUUAUCGCGGUUACUCGUUACCGACCUGUGCUACCAGUUGCAUUGGAUGCACACGUGUCAGAUAUAAACGUUGCCAAUUUACAUCUUUUUGAUAUAACAUACAUCCCGACGAUUACGAUCGAAGAAAACAUCAAGUGCAUCGUUACGAGAAGAAGAACCGACCGAACCAAUGGCGAUCAGUUUUGUACGUUCGAUAAGGAAGUAGAAUGUUCAAGAGGUCGAGAAGAAGAGGAAUAAAAAGGUACACAUCUCAUACUAUUGGAAUAAAUAUCCUAUGAUAUCUGAGUACUUUCAAAAGUUUCCUGACAACUAGGAGGAUAAUCAUAAAACAUUCAAUGGAUUAUCAACACAAAACUGCGACUUGAUAACGAUGUAAUACGUUUUUUAAGUGUAUUUUUUGUAUAAAUUAAAUGUUAAUCUAUCUUAAA